This is a non-coding RNA of Podarcis lilfordi (Lilford's wall lizard), 9573 nucleotides long. Lineage: Eukaryota; Metazoa; Chordata; Lepidosauria; Squamata; Lacertidae. The record is from the annotation of a GenBank genome assembly.
CUGAAGGCACAUGGAGGCACAUCACUAAUAAAGACAGACUGUCAGUGGCAGUGUGUCCUGUUUCACCAUGUGAAAGGGGAAACAGGAAGUGCCACCUUUCCCUGCCACUGCUGCCACCACAGGCAAUGCCCACUCUGCUGCCUCCACCGCUGGUGGAGAAGCGGUGCUGGCCUUGGAGCAAAUUUCAGGAAGGAUCUCUCUGGAGGGGGCAGGACACCCAUGGGGUGCCGCCUCAGGGCCUUCUGCCACCUGAGGCGGUAGCCUCAACCUGCCCAAUGGCUGGGCCGGCCCUGAAGCCCGUCAAAGAUAGGCUUCAAUGGUAGUUACUCCCAGGGAAGUAUGCAAAGAAUUGUAACCAUUUACCUCAGAGAAAGCCCCAUUGAAAUCAACGAGGAGUCGUGCAUAGGAUUUAUUUUAAUUUUAAAAAAUAGCUCAAAGGUCCAAAUGUUUUGCCCCACCACCAUCACCUUAAACUAGCAGCAUGACUCAUCUUUUUUUCCCCAUCCCUUCCCCCCGAUGAAACAAUUUGUCAACCACAUCUGCAGAUGUCCUUUUGAGGAACUGAAAAGGCUGAGCGUUUCACCUAUUAUGAUAUCAUGGAAUGUAGCAGAGGAGGUGAUCUCAUAGAUACAUAUAUAUUCAGGCUUUGAGGAGAUUGCGGUUCAGUUCCCCCACCCUCUGGCAUCUCAUGGUGCUUUGUUUCCUCCAGUGAAUGCUGUUUUCACCCCUCCACUCCCCCCUUUUAUUUCCACAGGAGCAAAUUAAGGUGUUUGUGUUGCAUUGCUGGGUUCAGGAAAAGUUCCCAGGCAUCUGCCACACCAGCAGGUUGCAAAAGGUCAGUUUUACACUAAGUUGUGUGUGUGUCUUUUCACCCCUUAAGGAUGUCGUUAACAGACAUCUAGAGCUCGUAAAACAAACAUGAGUAUGCAUAUUACAUGAAUGGAGAUCAUUUUCAAUCCAAUAGUAUACUGCCCCAGUUAAUACUGUCAAAUUCAAACAAGAAAUCUAUUUUAUACCAGUGCCAAACACCCAUAUGAACCUCCCCGUAAGUUGGGAUCAUAUAUCGAAGCCCUUCUCCAACAUGGCCCUACCAUUAGGCAGAAAGUGGUGGCUAUUACAGGCAGCUGACUUGGGGCAAGUGAAUCAGGUGAUGUUGAGAGUGAUUAUGAUUCUGCCAAGGAAGAGAAGAGGCACGUGUGGGAUUUUUUGUCUUGGGUACCGAAAUAACUUGGAUGGCCUUGGGUAAGAGCUGGGUGGGGUGGAGCUGAUGUGUUAGUUUCCCAGCAGGUGAGGUCACUGUUGUUUACCACGGGAGGGAGGGUCAAGAUGGGCGGGGAGGUCAGCAGGUUGCUAACACACCAGCAGAGGCAACUGAACAUUCCCAACAAUGUGUUUGCACUGUGCCAACCUUCUCACCACCUGGCAAGCUGCUUCUGGUAGUACAGGCCUUGAAAUGGACAUCAUUUGCUGUGUUGGGCUGGCCUUGUUCUCUAACCCACCCCCCGCCAUCUAACACUCCUAGCCCAGUGUUAUGAUGGGAGGAGCAGACACACAUCCAGGCAACCCCACCUUCUGCCAAUUAUUCAGUUCUCAACAGCUUCCAGUCAGAUAUGUAUCACUGAGCAUUAUGGCCAUCUCUUGCUGUUUGUCCUCAUAGCAGCUGGUACGGAAGCUGUACUACCCAGGACAGGAUGGGGUUGUGCAGGGUUGUUAAGGCAGCAGAGAGCAUUGUUGGCUGCCCACUCUCCACCUUAGAGCAGAUUUAUACCACAAGGUGCCAUAGGAAGGCACUGGACAUAGUAAAAGAUCCAUCGCAUCCUGGUCACUGUCUCUUCGAGCUCUUGCCGUCGGGACGGAGAUACAGGACGAUGAAGACAAGAACGAGCCGUCUUAAGAACAGCUUCUUCUCCAGAGCGAUCUCGGCCCUGAAUGGGAAGCCCGGACUUUGAAAGUCAUCUAAUCUCCCUUGCUGUAUUAUACUGUAUUGAUUAAUUAGUGUUUUUAUGGAGCAGUCAAGUAAUUUCGUUGUCCCCGAAGGGGGCAAUGACAAUAAAGAUAUUAUUAUUAUUAUUAUUAUUAUUACUAUGUGGAGGAGCCUUUGCACAUUUUGGUAGUUCAGUGAACACACAUAGGUUUCUCUUUCAGACUUUCCACUCAAUGUGCAGGUCUCCAGAGGGUUCAAUGUGUGGAGCUCCAGUAGAGAAGGUGAUGUUGGGAGCAGCACACAGGGCCGUACUUCCCCACCAUGCAUGGGGAAGCCUAAUUGCCAAUGAACAUGGGACCUUUGGCCCUGAACUACAACUCCCAUCAGCCCCAGCAAGCAUGGCCAAUGCCCAGGGAUGUAAUUCAGCAACAUCUGGAAUUACAAAUUUCCAAAGGUUUCCCACACUGGCUACAAUGUGUGAAGGUACUUGCAGAUAUAAUAAUGUUACAAAAAUCAGGUGCCCACCCCUCCAUCUCUGCUGAGUGGUAGCAAGAUUUCAGGGGGUUCCAGGCACUCACUCAAGGUCUACGUUCCUUUAGAGAAUUGAGACAUAGCAGAAACUCUCAUAGCUUUAAGAAAUAGGGUUUAUUCACCUAUUUACACCUUCAGUCUGCAUGGAUGGAGUCCAGAUCUCACAGCAUGGCAUCUCUCCCAGCCUGCCUUCAGCCAGCCUGCCCAAAAUGGAGCCCAGUCUUCUCCCCUUCUUCUCUUCAGUACACAUCGUUGUAAAUCGGGGUGCUCAAACUUUUUCAAAGACGGCCAGAUAACAUGUGUGAGGGCCGAAAUUGUUGAGCUUUUUUUAAGAUUGAACUUUUUUGGGGGGGGUUACCCCAACCGACCAGUAGGCCAAAUUAGGCCCCCCAAACUGACUUUGGACAUGCCUGUUCUAAAUACGCUCUUUUCAUGUCACAAACAUACACCUCAUUACCAUGGCAACCUCUGUCUGCUGAGGCCCAUAAUUCCUCUCAGGAGGACUAUCAACCAUUUGGUUGUGUUAAUGCCUCUCUCCCAGGCCCUGGCUUGGGGAAAAAAAUCUUAGCCUGCAAUUUUUCAUUGACUUCCGAUCUUACCUUCAGUUCUCCAAAUAAUCAAAUUUAUUAAUUUCUAGGGUUUGGUGGGGAGGGGGGUUUCCUCACCAAAUCAAUAACAAUGAUAAUCAGAAGUAUGUGAAGAAUUUUCCCCAUCAAUUGCUGUGAAAAGUGAUGAUGUAAAGUCACAUAGGCAUUGCUUCAUUGGGCAAGCUUGGUUAUGUGCCAAGCAGGGAGAAGAAAUCUUCCACAACUGCUGAAAUGUAAAAACUGUGUGGAUUCAUAGUGAGAGAGGAUAGGAAAUGUGGGUGUGUUGAAACAGUCAGAGAUUACUCAUCAUUAAAGAAGCAUUCAACAACAAUGGUACAAUCUUUAAUUUUGUAAAUAAACUUCGUUGGACUUUAACUUCCUGUACCUGACACAACAACAUGCAAAUGUGCGUUGCCCAGUAUCCAUCCACUCCUUUGAUGUUGCCCCUUCACUCAUUAAGCAGGGUUAAUUGUGACAGGCUUUUGCUAUCAGUAAACAAGUCUUUGGUAGCUACUCUUAUUUUGCUGCUCAUCAGGGAUCCUGAGAUGGUUUUCUUGAAACGAAAAGUGUUAUUUGGAGACAGGAUGUUGUGGCAAUCAUACAUGACCAACGUUCACCUCAGGUUAAACUCUCAGGGUGGGGACCUGGCUGGUACCACUCUAGAGUGUUUGAGAACAGAUUUUUAUGUCCUUUAAAUGGGUAUUUUUAAAAAUAAGCAUAUAUUUUGCUUCCUUUCCUCUGUCUUCCCAGGCAGCAUUUUGCUGCCGUGUUCUUGGGAAAUAUAUUGUCUAGAAUUGUCUGUCUUCCAUGUAGACAUGGGCCAAUCUGCCGAUUUUAGUUCCUCAUCCCCCCCCCCCAUUUUAAGUUCAGUUUUUCACAUUUCCAUAUCAGUUGUGUGCAUUUUUUAAAAGUCCUCAUUAGAAUUCAUCACCAUUUUAGUGUCAAUUUCUCCAGAUACUGUAUAUCAUUAGUCUUAAUUAUUAAAUUUUUAUACCAUCCUUCAUCUGAAGACCAGAGGGCAGUAAACACAUUCUUAUAUACACAUUUUCCUAAGAUACACAUUUUCCAAAAGCAUUUCUCUGUAAAAUAAUAUUUAUUGCGGGUUAUUUUCACCAAUAUGUGCAAUAUGUGCAUUUUUAUGGGUGCUUUACCCAACUGUGCAUUUUUGUGUACUUGACUUGACUUGAGAACUCAUUGCAAAAUUCAGAGAAGACUUUGACUUUGAAAAUACAUUUCAAAGGACAGCUCCAUUUCCAUUCUCGUAUUUUUUCAGAAAGUGCAACAGGUUCACCUUUAAAUGCAAACUGAAUCAGAUUCCUCCCCAGUACCUAUUUUCAUGUUUGAAAGACAAAAGCCUUCUUUAGGCGUUCGGUGAAUUUUAGAAGAAAGGGAGAUGACUAACCUGAGUGCAUUUAUUAUAUGUGAAGAGAGCAUCUGUCUUGCAAACAACCUUUUUGUCAUUCUGGAAAGGUGAGCUAUACAGAAGCACAGGUGACACGGCAGAAGUUUAUAAAACUAUGCACUGCAUGGAGAAAGUGGAUAGAGAUAGGUUUUUUCUCCCUCUCUCGUAACAGAAAUCACAAACAUCCAAUGAGGCUGAAUGUUGGAAGAUUCAGGUCAGAUAAAAGAAAGUGUUAGAAUUCCUGCUCCAUGAUUGCAGUCAUGGGAUUGUUGUCUAUCACAUGACGGUGUAUGUUUUGACUCCACAAAGUGGGAAGUGAAGGAGACAGGAUGUUUGUGUUACUGUGUUCCGUGAAGGGGGACUAUUGUCCUUUGUCCUUUUUCUCUUUGCAGUCUGAUGCUAGAGAGAGAGGGAGCCAUAUUGCAGUGCUCUCUGUGUGUUUAUAUGUAAAUAAAGUAGAUUAGCCAAAAUGCUGAGUUGCUGAGGUCUGUCACGCAAGAUGCGCAAACUCUGUGGAUCCCCAAGUGUGCCGAUGUCUGUUGGAAUCGGUCACUGUGAUGUUUGGGCUGAAGAAAUCUUUUGAAGCUCCCAAACGAUUGACCAGGAGGGAGGGAACAUGCCAGUUGAGCAUGUGUCUCUGCCAGGGUCCUACUCGAGUGUAGGCUGAACUCCUGACAGAAAGUCCUUCAUGCAUUGCAUAGUUAAACUAUGGAACUCAUUGCCACAGGAGGCAGUGAUGGCUGCCAACUUAGAUGGCUUUAAACAAGGAUUCAACAUGAAGAAAAAAGCUAUCAAUGACUACUAGCCUGGAUGGCUAUGUUCUGCCUCCACCGUCAGAGGCUUCUAAACCAGAAGCCUUUUUAUUGGGUAUAGUGGGUAGAGAGAUACCAAGACAAGAUAAAAUAUUGUUCUUAUAUGCAACAACUGUGGCAAGAAUUUUGUUAGCCCAAAGAUGGAAACAACAGGAGUUACCAACAAAAGCAGAGUGGCAGAUGAAGCUGAUGGAUUUUGCAGAACUGGCGAAACUGACGGGAAGAAUUCUGAACCAGCGAGACCAAGCAUUCCAAAAGGACUGGAACAAAUUCACAUUAUAUUUGAAAAACAACUGUAAGCAAUUAACAUCAUUAGCAAGUUUAUCCGAAGAUCUGUAAGAUGAAAUUGCUCCCUAUUCAGGUUGAGUAAUAGAAUAUUUUAGGUAAUGAUAGAACAAGGGUAGGAAAUGAAGCGAAAUCUAAAGAUGUAAAGUUUAAUUUUGAAAACCACCAGACAGGAGGGAGGGAAGUCAUUGGGCUCAGUUGAGUCAAAGAGAUAAACUAAGAGGGUAUGAUGUUACUUAAUGUAAUUAUAUGUAAAACCAAUAAAAAUCAUUUCUAAAACAGAGGGAGUAAUGCUUCUGAAUAUGAGUUGCUGGAAGCCCUGGCGCGAGGAGUGCUGUUCUGCUCGGGUUAAUCCAGCAGGACUCUUCUUAUAUGCUCAUACAGUGGUACCUCGGGUUACAUACGCUUCAGGUUACAUACACUUCAGGAUACAGACUCCGCUAACCCAGAAAUAGUACCUCGGGUUAAGAACUUUGCUUCAGGAUGAGAACAGAAAUCGUGUUCCAGCGGCGUGGCGGCAGCAGGAGGCCCCAUUAGCUAAAGUGGUGCUUCAGGUUAAGAACAGUUUCAGGUUAAGAAUGGACCACUGGAACAAAUUAAGUACUUAACCCGAGGCACCACUGUAUUCCAAGGAUCUUCGUCAGAUAUGUGCCUCUCUCAGAAUCACACAGAGACAGACACAGGCCUUCUUCAGCCAUUUCACAUCCCUAAAUCAUUUUCAGAAUCUGCAUAGAGAAGUGAAACUUUGGAAUGGACUCAGCGUCACGUACCUAUUUUUCUUUUCGUACCUUCCUUGUGAUGCUGUUUAGAUGCAAGAUAACAAAUUAGCUGUGAGACUUUGCUCCCUUCUCGGGGCUGAGGUUUCUACAAAACUUCCUCUAAUUGGAAUUGACUGAGUCUCCUAGCAGGUCACCUGCUAAUCACUCAUGACUUUCUUAAAACACCAAAGGAAAAAGGAAGAGGUCAGUCACAACCGAUAUGAUAGCCAAUCUCUAACUUAGGGCCUUUCCAGCAGAUCAUAUAUUUUGGUUUCUAGAAGAAAAUCAAAGCGUUACUCAUUUGUUGCACAACAUCCAACCAUCUUUCCUCAAGGAAGUGACUCUUAAGUCAACUAAUGCCGUUUGUGUACCACAAAGAAAGCAUCAUAAAUUUGCAGUAAUGACUAUGACCUUUGGUUCAUUAUUAGUGGCCAAGGUGUAAGUUUUUGGUUUGUGAAUAGGUUUCAAUGAAAACAGUAGCAAAGGGGAAAUAGGAAGAUCCUCUGAAGGGAAAGGGCUGGAGAAAGGGGAAGGAAUUAUAAAGUGAGGCAAAAGGUUGUUGUCAUAAAAGCAAAGUCGGAAUUGAAAUGAAGGGGAGAAGAGAGAAAAGCUGAAAUAAUAACAAUAACAAUAACAAUUUACAGUGGUACCUCGGGUUAAGUACUUAAUUCGUUCCGGAGGUCCGUACUUAACUGAAACUGUUCUUAACCUGAAGCACCACUUUAGCUAAUGGGACCUCCUGCUGCCGCCACGGCUCCAGAGCCCGAUUUCUGUUCUCAUCCUGAAGCAAAGUUCUUAACCUGAAGCACUAUUUCUGGGUUAGCAGAGUCUGUAACCUGAAACGUAUGUAACCUGAAGCGUAUGUAACCCGAGGUACCACUGUAUUUGUACCCUGCCCAUCUGGCUGGGUUUCCCCAGCCACUCUGGGUGGCUUCCAACAAAGAUUAAAAAUACAUUAAAAUGUCAUACAUUAAAAAUUUCCCUAAACAGGGCUGCCUUCAGAUGUCUUCUAAAUGUCAGGUAGUUGUUUAUCUCUUUGACAUCUGAUGGGAGGGCGUUACAUAGGGUGGGCACCACUACCGAGAAGGCCCUCUGCCUGGUUCCCUGUAGCUUUGCUUCUCACAGUGAGGGAACUGCCAGAAGGCCCUUGGAGCUGGACCUCAGUGUCUGGGCAGAACGAUGGGGGUGGAGACGCUCCUUCAGGUAUACUGGGCCGAGGCUGUUUAGGGCUUUAAAGGUCAGCACCAACACUUUGAAUUGUGCUCGGAAACGUACUGGGAGCCAAUGUAGGUCUUUCAGGACCGGUGUCAUAUGGUCUCAGCGGCCGCUCCCAGUCACCAGUCUAGCUGCCACAUUCUGGAGGAAGAAGUAUAUAGGAGGAAGAAGUGAAAAGAUCAGAGAGGAGCAACAAAAGAAUUCAGCCAUUUGGUGGCUGGGUGGGGUAGAGAGAUGAACGUGAAAGGGGAAGGGCAGAAGAAAUUACCAGAGAUGGAUAAACAUACUUUGAGAGGCAUGAGGGUGGGAAAGAGAAAUUUUAAAGAAAACUUUUUCUUCAUGCAGAGUCUCUGGAUCAGCACAUGCUGCCUAAAAUGAGGAGGCUGAGUCUCAAUACCUCCAGAGCAAAUGCCUGAAUUUAGCUUGAAGAAAAGCUGAGCGAUCGUAGCUACAGUACAAGGGAAAUGCUGAACUAACAGGGAGGAUAAGAGGAGAUAUGGUACAAAAAGUGAAUAAGGAGUGGGAAUACAUCAAAAUUUAUGUGGAAAAUGUAGAAUUUCUGACAGAUACUGAGUGAAUCCAGAAAAUGGUUAGAGUGAAAGGAGAGUAAAGUUAAUAAAAAAGAGAAGAGAUUAAAGAAAUAAUGAAAUGUGUUUAAGCUAGUUGGAAAAAUAAAGUAGCGUAACAAGAACGGCUAGAAGUCAAGUCACUUGGUGGGUGUCCGUACGGGGCAGGUGUGUAGGUAUGUUGAUAUGUAUAGUAUAGGUAGGUAUUAUAUAGAGUAAUGUAGGUAUGUUUUAUGUUAUGAAAAUUAGGUAGUGUGUUGUGUACGUGUAUUGUGUAAAUGUAUAUAUAUGCGUUUUAUAUGUCAAUAAAAUAAAUAAAUGAAUGAAUGAAUGAAAUGCUGUGGCAAAGAAUUCUGAAAUUUUGAAAAACGGAUUGAGGUGUGUCCCUUCUCACUCCUGGCUAUUUUUGCCUUUUUGAAGAAAACUCUGGCACUUGGAGACAAAGGACGAUGUGUCAUUCUGGUCAGCCAGCACCCAGCCAGCUGCAUAGACUGGUAGGCUGAAGGUGUCCCCAAGGGAAAGGUUCAAGCUCCAUGACAGCAAAAGGAGCAAUUCUUGCACAAGGACAUUCUGCAAACAGAAGGAAGCAUUUCAGGGGUUUACCCUCAGAAGCUAGCUGGUAGCUCAGUGGAAAAGAGCCUUCUAAUGGGAAGUAACAUGAUAUAGGUUUGAGUCAUGUUGAAAUGACCCCUGUAAGGCAAUGUCUUCAGCUGGGGCUUCUCCAAACAACAGAUUCUAAAGGGGGAAAGUCUUUAGAAGGGAGGGAGAAGUUCUAAAACUCAAAUCGCUCACUGGGAUGGGUGGAUCUGUAAGUUUCAGUUUUUGUCAGCUUCUCAUUUUUCAAGUCUUAUGUUCCGUUCUCAACAUUUCCAUAUCAAUUUGCUUUUUUUAAAAAAAUGUCCUCAUAAAAACCCACCAGCGUGUAAAUGUGAAUUGCUUCCAAUAUACACAUUUUUACAGGCAGCUUUGCCUAACAUACCCAUUUUCGCAAAUCUAUUUCCCCCUAAUACAAGGCAUUUUUGAAUGCUGUUUUCAGUGAUGUCAUGCAUGUUCAUGCACAGGGCUCUGCAAAAUUCAGAGGAUUUUGAAGGAUGGUUCAUGGGUCAUUUAGAAAUUUGCAAAUUAGGUCAUUUCUCCUUUAGGCACGAGCAGAGUUGAACUCCACCCCACAUCCCUUGUGUUUAGGGAUUCGUAAAUAACGUGGUCAUAUAACUCACCUGGCCCAUGUCGGAGAUUGCGCUGGAAUGUCAUAUCCAGCACCUGUUUGUUUUGCUCUCCUAGGCUGCCGUGUCUCUGAUGCUGCAUGGAAGAAUGAGUCAUGAAUGUUUGGCCAGCAAUAGUAAGAGGUGGAGUCGAGUGCCUGGUGUUUAUUUACAAGGUGGCUGUGCGGUGACAAGCUUACCUGCAUUUGAGAGGUCAACAGCCUGCUUUUCUGCAACAAGCGUCCUUGCUGAGGCUGAGAGGUGGACUCUAGCUCAGAGGUAGAGCAACUG